RNAcentral lists this transfer RNA (72 nucleotides) under Marseillevirus LCMAC201. Its description in RNAcentral is "tRNA-Ile". It matches the Rfam family "tRNA". From Rfam's summary of the family: Transfer RNA (tRNA) molecules are approximately 80 nucleotides in length. Their secondary structure includes four short double-helical elements and three loops (D, anti-codon, and T loops). Further hydrogen bonds mediate the characteristic L-shaped molecular structure. tRNAs have two regions of fundamental functional importance: the anti-codon, which is responsible for specific mRNA codon recognition, and the 3' end, to which the tRNAs corresponding amino acid is attached (by aminoacyl-tRNA synthetases). tRNAs cope with the degeneracy of the genetic code in two manners: having more than one tRNA (with a specific anti-codon) for a particular amino acid; and 'wobble' base-pairing, i.e. permitting non-standard base-pairing at the 3rd anti-codon position. Lineage: Varidnaviria; Bamfordvirae; Nucleocytoviricota; Megaviricetes; Pimascovirales; Marseilleviridae. The record is from RNAcentral.
GUGCCAUUCGUCUAACGGUCAGGACACAGAUCUUAUGAGUCUGUUACGCAGGUUCGACUCCUGCAUGGCACA